Small nucleolar RNA from Heterocephalus glaber (naked mole-rat), 79 nucleotides. Its record names the gene U3. It matches the Rfam family "Small nucleolar RNA U3". From Rfam's summary of the family: Small nucleolar RNAs (snoRNAs) are involved in the processing and modification of rRNA in the nucleolus. Lineage: Eukaryota; Metazoa; Chordata; Mammalia; Rodentia; Bathyergidae. The record is from Ensembl.
AAGGCUAUACUUUCAGGGAUCAUUUCUACAGUUCCUUACUAGAGAAGUUUCUCUGAUUAUGUAGAGUACCAAGUAAAUU